Molecule: ribosomal RNA, 450 nt
Filed under: uncultured bacterium
Lineage: Bacteria
Description: bacterial SSU rRNA
Rfam family: Bacterial small subunit ribosomal RNA
Source: RNAcentral
GCCCAGACUCCUACGGGAGGCAGCAGUGGGGAAUAUUGGGCAAUGGGCGCAAGCCUGACCCAGCAACGCCGCGUGAAGGAAGAAGGCUUUCGGGUUGUAAACUUCUUUUGACAGGGAAGAGCAGAAGACGGUACCUGUCGAAUAAGCCACGGCUAACUACGUGCCAGCAGCCGCGGUAAUACGUAGGGAGCGAGCGUUGUCCGGAAUUACUGGGUGUAAAGGGAGCGUAGGCGGGACUGCAAGUUGGGUGUCAAAUCUACCGGCUCAACCGGUAGCCGCACUCAAAACUGCAGUUCUUGAGUGAAGUAGAGGCAGGCGGAAUUCCUAGUGUAGCGGUGAAAUGCGUAGAUAUUAGGAGGAACACCAGUGGCGAAGGCGGCCUGCUGGGCUUUUACUGACGCUGAGGCUCGAAAGUGUGGGGAGCAAACAGGAUUAGAUACCCCCGUAAAA